GAAUACGAAGCGAUAAAUUGCAAUUAGUUUCGACCUAAUCUUAGAUGUUACUAUGCAUCCUUAUUCU
This 67-nucleotide transfer RNA is filed under the name Propsilocerus paradoxus. Its description in RNAcentral is "tRNA-Arg". Lineage: Eukaryota; Metazoa; Arthropoda; Insecta; Diptera; Chironomidae. The record is from RNAcentral.